AGGGAUAUAGCUCAGUGGCAUAGCACUUGCCUGGCAAGCAUGAGGUUGUGAGUUCAACUCCUAGCACCA
This 69-nucleotide transfer RNA is filed under the name Cavia porcellus (domestic guinea pig). It matches the Rfam family "tRNA". Rfam says of the family: Transfer RNA (tRNA) molecules are approximately 80 nucleotides in length. Their secondary structure includes four short double-helical elements and three loops (D, anti-codon, and T loops). Further hydrogen bonds mediate the characteristic L-shaped molecular structure. tRNAs have two regions of fundamental functional importance: the anti-codon, which is responsible for specific mRNA codon recognition, and the 3' end, to which the tRNAs corresponding amino acid is attached (by aminoacyl-tRNA synthetases). tRNAs cope with the degeneracy of the genetic code in two manners: having more than one tRNA (with a specific anti-codon) for a particular amino acid; and 'wobble' base-pairing, i.e. permitting non-standard base-pairing at the 3rd anti-codon position. Lineage: Eukaryota; Metazoa; Chordata; Mammalia; Rodentia; Caviidae. The record is from Rfam by way of RNAcentral.